RNAcentral lists this ribosomal RNA (492 nucleotides) under uncultured bacterium. RNAcentral's name for it is "partial 16S ribosomal RNA". It matches the Rfam family "Bacterial small subunit ribosomal RNA", at positions 29 to 507 of the family's 1533-position model. The record is from RNAcentral.
AGUGAACGCUGGCGGUAGGCCUAAUACAUGCAAGUCGAACGGCAGCACAGUAAGAGCUUGCUUUUACGGGUGGCGAGUAGCGGACGGGUGAGGAGUACGUCGGAAUCUACGUUUUCGGGGGGGAUAACGUAGGGAAACUGACGCUAAUACCGCAUACGACUUAUGGGUGAAAGCUGGGGAUCUUCGGACCUUUCCCGAACGAAUAAGCCGAUGUCGGAUUAGCUAGUUGGGGGGGUAAGGGCCCACCAAGCCGACGAUCCGUAGCUGGCCUGAGAGGAGGGUCGGCCACACUGGAACUGGGACACGGCCAGGACUCCUACGGGAGGCAGCGGUGGGAAAUAUUGGACAAUGGGGGAAAGCCUGACGCAGCAAGCCCGCGUGGGUGAAGAAGGCCUUCGGUUUGUAAAGCCCUUUUGUUGGGAAGGAAGAGCAGCAGGUUAAUACCUCGAUGUUCUGACGGUACCCAAAGAAUAAGCACCGGCUAACUACGUG